Molecule: ribosomal RNA, 422 nt
Filed under: uncultured bacterium
Lineage: Bacteria
Description: bacterial SSU rRNA
Rfam family: Bacterial small subunit ribosomal RNA
Source: RNAcentral
UGAGGAAUAUUGGACAAUGGACGAAAGUCUGAUCCAGCCAUGCCGCGUGCAGGAAGAAUGCCCUCUGGGUUGUAAACUGCUUUUAUAAGGGAAUAAACCCCCGGACGUGUCCGGGGCUGAAUGUACCUUACGAAUAAGGACCGGCUAACUCCGUGCCAGCAGCCGCGGUAAUACGGAGGGUCCAAGCGUUAUCCGGAUUUAUUGGGUUUAAAGGGUCCGUAGGUGGGACUAUAAGUCAGUGGUGAAAUCUUUCGGCUUAACCGGAAAAUUGCCAUUGAUACUGUAGUUCUUGAGUAUGCUCGAGGUAGGCGGAAUAUGUCAUGUAGCGGUGAAAUGCAUAGAUAUGACAUAGAACACCGAUAGCGAAGGCAGCUUACCAGCGCAUAACUGACACUGAGGGACGAAAGCGUGGGGAGCGAACA